RNAcentral lists this ribosomal RNA (253 nucleotides) under uncultured bacterium. Its description in RNAcentral is "partial 16S ribosomal RNA". It matches the Rfam family "Bacterial small subunit ribosomal RNA", at positions 524 to 776 of the family's 1533-position model. The record is from RNAcentral.
GACGAGGGGUCCAAGCGUUGUUCGGAAUCAUUGGGCGUAAAGCGGGUGUAGGUGGCUUUGUAAGUCAGGAGUGAAAUCCCCGAGCUUAACUCGGGAAGUGCUUUUGAAACUGCAGAGCUUGAAUGUGGGAGAGGAUCGUGGAAUUCCAGGUGUAGUGGUGAAAUACGUAGAUAUCUGGAGGAACAUCAGUGGCGAAAGCGACUUCCUGGACCAAUACUGACGCUCAUGUGCGAAAGCGUGGGGAGCAAACAGG